RNAcentral lists this ribosomal RNA (492 nucleotides) under uncultured bacterium. RNAcentral describes it as "partial 16S ribosomal RNA". It matches the Rfam family "Bacterial small subunit ribosomal RNA", at positions 29 to 507 of the family's 1533-position model. The record is from RNAcentral.
AGUGAACGCUGGCGGUAGGCCUAACACAUGCAAGUCGAACGGCAGCACAGUAAGAGCUUGCUCUUACGGGUGGCGAGUGGCGGACGGGUGAGGAAUACAUCGGAAUCUACUUUUUCGUGGGGGAUAACGUAGGGAAACUUACGCUAAUACCGCAUACGACCUACGGGUGAAAGCAGGGGAUCUUCGGACCUUGCGCGAUUGAAUGAGCCGAUGUCGGAUUAGCUAGUUGGCGGGGUAAAGGCCCACCAAGGCGACGAUCCGUAGCUGGUCUGAGAGGAUGAUCAGCCACACUGGAACUGAGACACGGUCCAGACUCCUACGGGAGGCAGCAGUGGGGAAUAGUGGACAAUGGGCGCAAGUCUGAUACAGCCAUACCGCGUGGGUGAAGAAGGCCUUCGGGUUGUAAAGCCCUUUUGUUGGGAAAGAAAAGCAGCAGGUUAAUACCCCGCUGUUCUGACGGUACCCAAAGAAUAAGCACCGGCUAACUUCGUG